RNAcentral lists this long non-coding RNA (1783 nucleotides) under Lactuca sativa (garden lettuce). RNAcentral describes it as "long non-coding RNA (LSAT_LNC010192)". Lineage: Eukaryota; Viridiplantae; Streptophyta; Magnoliopsida; Asterales; Asteraceae. The record is from RNAcentral.
GAAGUUCGUAGCAGCAGAAGGGAAAGAAAGAGGGGUGGUGUCUGGGGUGAAUCAAUUUUUCAGCAGGUGGUUAAGGAGGUGGCUUAAUUUUUCCUCUAUGUCUCUCUUCGUCUCCCUUCUUCCGGCGGUGAAAAUAGUAACACCGCCGCUGUAACCGGUAGCCGCUAAAACCGGCGGCGACUAUGGUGGUGGUGGUUGUGAUGUUGACGGUAGUGUUAAGUGUUGGAGUUCUAACAAAACAAUACAGACAAAGAGGGAGGGGGGUUAUUUUCUCUUAUUUUUGUUUUAUUUAUUUCAAUCAAAAAAUUAAUAAAAUUAAUAAAAAAUCUGAAAAAGAAAAUAUCAAGGGUAAAAACGUCAUUAUAAAAAUGUUUAAACCAAAUUGGACUAAACUCGCAACAAAAUGAAAAUUUUGAAUAUCCGAUCGGUCCAAAUUUUUUGAACCAAAGUGACAAUUUUGAGCAACCUACGAGACAGUUUUGUCAAAGAUAAAAGAACAAGCUGAAACAAAACAUAUCCAAACGACGUCGCACGCCAUCCCUUAAUUAACAGUCCCCUAAAUCGAAAGGAAGAGAGCCCUUUUCUUUUCAUUUUGUUUAUGUUAAGUUUUCUGGAGCUACAACUCAAACACCCAUGAAAUUCGAUCGAUCCGUGAUAUUUCUCGACUUCUUGCUUUUUCGUUUUCACGAAAUAAGCAGUUGAACUCUCACUCUCUCAGGUACAGUUCGAUUUCCCUCUCUUCGUUUGCCUUCUGCUUGGCAUUAGAUUAAAACGGUGCUCCAUUCCCAGCUUCCGAAUGUGUGUAGUUGCUAUGUGUUUGGUGUUAGUAAAUAGUAAGUAUUUAGUGUUCAAGAUGAAAUCUGAGUGUUAAUCUGUCCUUAGCUUCUGUUAAUUUCAGGUUAAUCUUCUAUUCAUAUGAAGCAGUAGUAGAUGUACUUAUUAUAAUCUUGAGCACACAAAUUAUCCUUAGUAUUGGUGAGCACAUAUUCUAAUAAGCACAUAAGUUAGAAGUAUACAUAAGGAUCCAUAUUCUAAUAGUUGGGAACAAGGUUAUGGAUAAUAUUAAUAGAUACAUAUGCCAUGUUGUGGUUGAACAAUUUUUUUAUGCUUUUCCUAGAGUUGUUUUGGUAAGUAAGAUUGCAUUGGCAAUUUGCUCCAGUGUUUUCUGUUUUUUAGUUCCCUUAACUAUCAUCUGUGAAUUUGAGCUUGAAGGCUCUAUUAAUUUUGUUCAAGCACACAUUACCUUAUUUCUGUGAUAUAAUAGAAACUUGUUUUGCUAUAACUUGUUGUUAACCUUGAUGAAUAUUGUGAAAUUUGUGUUUUGAAUGUAAGGGUAAAAUGGUAAUUUAGUCUAAUGUUUCUGAAGUAACUAUAUAAUAUUUCAAAGGAACCAUAAUCUGUUAAGUAGUUUGAAACAUAGUUAAGGUUGGUUUAGGUUGAAACUGGUGAAGAUACUUAGAUAAAUCAAACACUUAGACAUACCCAACACUAAUAUAAGCCUAAAACUUAGGUAGGCUAAAAACAUAGAUAAGCCCAAAUGAUUAAAAGUAGGUCUUGUUUGCCCUAAAAGCUUCAAUCUUAUAAUGUAAGUUUACUUGUUCAUAUUUUUGCCACUAACUUGGAUUAACCCAAUUGUAAGUACUAGUAGUUGGUGUUAAUCUGUUAAUCUGAGAUUGAGCUUUUUGUUAACAAAUAAUUUAAAUUGUUAUUUCUUCAUUUUUCUUCUAUUAGGUUUUUCAUUUCAAGCGAAGAAAUGGCUGGUGCUGGAAGCAGUAGCAACAGG